Molecule: ribosomal RNA, 253 nt
Filed under: uncultured bacterium
Lineage: Bacteria
Description: partial 16S ribosomal RNA
Rfam family: Bacterial small subunit ribosomal RNA
Source: RNAcentral
UACGUAGGUGGCAAGCGUUGUCCGGAUUUACUGGGCGUAAAGAGCGCGCAGGCGGUCGUUCAAGUCGCGUGUGAAAGCCCCCGGCUCAACUGGGGAGGGUCACGCGAUACUGAUCGACUGGAAGGCAGGAGAGGGUAGUGGAAUUCCCGGUGUAGCGGUAAUAUGCGUAGAUAUCGGGAGGAACACCAGUGGCGAAGGCGGCUCUCUGGGGUAUUGCUGACGCUGAGGCACGAAAGCCAGGGGAGCGAACGGG